CUCCACUUUAAAUGUGCCUACGAGGGAUUUGUGCUAAUCUGUCACGCGAAAGAUAUUGGAGCGAGAUUAAUGUUGUUUCAAUUUUUUUUUUUUUUUCUCAUUCUUUUCACCGUUUUGUCAGCCCGACGACCCCGUUUGGCCGUCUCCUUCACUAUGACUUCUGAGGACUGGGUCGUCUGAUCGAUACGAGUUCCAGUUCGAAUUUUCCUCGCAGAGGGGGGACGCCAUGAUCACGCGUUCGAAUCUAGCGGAACAGCUCAGAGAAUAUCAGAAUCGGUCUAAGCACGACUGGGCUUCUGUUUCAUUUUUCACAUCUACUGCAAAUCCCAUUUCAAGGGCAGAUGGUGUGAUCUAUGUUGUAUGGGAACUCAUAAUUCUUGCUUUCCUGGUUUUUUCAGCAGUUUCUUUAUAUUUUAGGUACAUGCGACUGGCAUUUAUCUUAAUAUGUAUCACAAUGAUGUUGCUUGUGUGCAUGAAAAUUACAAAACAAGUAAGAUUGGCCCGGAGGAGGAAGGGAAGAAUGCUUCUUCCAUUAUCCAUGUAAAAUUAUAGGGAAGUUAGAGCCUUCUGAAAGCUAGUCCAAAUUUUCUGUAAAGAUUAUUUGAGAUGGUAACGUUACAGAUGACAUUCACCAAUUCAUGCUGUAAGAGUGUAUUGGCAAAACCAGCCUAUGCUUAUCAAUGUUGGAGGAAAGACUGGAAUAGUUCCAACAAUAGAGAGAACAAGGAGGAAGAGGGAACACCGGAGUAGGCAAUUUAGUACGACCGUCUGCAAGAACUCGUGUGUUUGAGAAAAAUCUCUGAUCUCCUGUUAACACCUUCAAUAGGGUGUGAGAAACAUCUCAGGGGUUAGAUUUGUGAUUCUCUUCCACACUACUGUCCAUGAGUCCUUUUUCAAUUGAGGUACUUUUGUCAUUGAACUGCAAAGCAUUGAAAGACUGGAGGAAUGGCCCUGGAUAAUAUUCUCUAUUGUUGGAUAUUUUAACGUUACAAGUUUCCUUGUUUUCUUCUGAUAUAUGCACCACGUCUCUGAACUUGGGAAGCCACUUUUUAGCUAGCUGAGUAGCUGGGCUGUGUCUAAAGGAGAAGAGAACUUGUGUGUGAUUCUGAAUCUCCUUUCUUGAUACAAAGGGUGUUAAGGUGUUUUGGGUCGAGCAGGUCUGAGUUGUGCGCUAGUCAGUGAAGCCAAGUUUCUGCAUCAUGAAGCCAUCAAGAGAUUAUUAUUAUUUGAAAAGGAUUGAUAUUAAGUUGCUCGGAAUAGAGAGAGAGAUCUCCACCAUUCUCAAAGGAUAUAAAAUUUCCUCAGGAAAAUCUAGAUUUUUGUCACGUAGCAUCAUUGUUUAAGCAUCUCAAGGAGAAGAUAAGAAGUGGAUCCCAAUGAAGAUUUCCACUGCUCGGAAAUCCGUUGUGUGGCUCUCCUUUUUCCUGAUAUCUUUUUUGCUUCUACCCUUGAUACUCGCAUAAAAAUGGAUCGGGGGGAUUUGAAUAUUCCUUGACUGGAUACAAUAUCUCUAAAUGAAUAUUGAUGCAAAUGGUAUCUGGAUUUUUGACUAUUUAUCUAGUCUGUGUAAUUCUAAUCAUUCUUCUUUUAGUGAAUAUAAUUUACUUUUAAUCCAUA
RNA transcript from Macadamia integrifolia, 1617 nucleotides. RefSeq lists it as uncharacterized. NCBI's taxonomy places the organism in Eukaryota, Viridiplantae, Streptophyta, Magnoliopsida, Proteales, Proteaceae. The record is from RefSeq and is a predicted model, not a curated record. The transcript has 3 exons.